RNAcentral lists this small nuclear RNA (105 nucleotides) under Procavia capensis (Cape rock hyrax). The record is from RNAcentral. Lineage: Eukaryota; Metazoa; Chordata; Mammalia; Hyracoidea; Procaviidae.
GUGCUCACUUUGGCAGCACAUACACUAAAAUUGGAAGAAUACUGAAAAUUAUCAAAACUCCUACACAAGGAUGACAUGGAAAUUUGUGAAGCUUUCCAUAUUUUG